RNAcentral lists this ribosomal RNA (400 nucleotides) under uncultured bacterium. RNAcentral describes it as "partial 16S ribosomal RNA". It matches the Rfam family "Bacterial small subunit ribosomal RNA", at positions 338 to 735 of the family's 1533-position model. The record is from RNAcentral.
CCUACGGGUGGCAGCAGUGAGGAAUAUUGGUCAAUGGGCGCGAGCCUGAACCAGCCAAGUAGCGUGAAGGAUGACUGCCCUACGGGUUGUAAACUUCUUUUAUAAAGGAAUAAAGUGAAGCACGUGUGUCUUUUUGUAUGUACUUUAUGAAUAAGGAUCGGCUAACUCCGUGCCAGCAGCCGCGGUAAUACGGAGGAUCCGAGCGUUAUCCGGAUUUAUUGGGUUUAAAGGGAGCGUAGACGGGUUGUUAAGUUAGUUGUGAAAGUUUGGGGCUCAACCGUAAAAUUGCAAUUGAUACUGGCAAUCGUGAGAGCAGUUGAGGUAGGCGGAAUUCAUGGUGUAGCGGUGAAAUGCUUAGAUAUCACGCAGAACUCCGAUUGCGAAGGCAGCUUACUAAACU